UGCCCCAGUAACGGCGAGUGAAGCGGCAACAGCUCAGAUUUGAAAUCUGGUCCCCAGGGCCCGAGUUGUAAUCUGUAGAGGAUGUUUCUGGCAAGGCGCCGUCCGAGUUCCCUGGAACGGGACGCCGGAGAGGGUGAGAGCCCCGUACAGGCGGACGCCGAGCCUCUGUGAAACUCCUUCGACGAGUCGAGUAGUUUGGGAAUGCUGCUCAAAGCGGGAGGUAAAUUUCUUCUAAAGCUAAAUAUAGGCCAGAGACCGAUAGCGCACAAGUAGAGUGAUCGAAAGAUGAAAAGCACUUUGAAAAGAGGGUUAAAAAGCACGUGAAAUUGUUGAAAGGGAAGCGCCUGUGACCAGACUCGCGCCCGGCGUAUCAUCCGGCGUUCUCGCCGGUGCACUACGCCGGGCUCGGGCCAGCAUCGGUUCUGGUGGGGGGAUAAAGGCGGCGGGGAUGUGGCUCCCCCGGGAGUGUUAUAGCCCGCCGCUCAAUGCCCUCGCCGGGACCGAGGACCGCGCAUUGCAAGGAUGCUGGCGUAAUGGUCACCAGCGACCCGUCUUGAAACACGGACCAAGGAGUCAAGCAUUAGGGCGAGUGUUUGGGUGUAAAACCCGCACGCGAAAUGAAAGUGAACGUAGGUGGGAGCCUCGGCGCACCAUCGACCGAUCCUGAUGUCUUCGGAUGGAUUUGAGUAAGAGCCUUAACGCUUGGACCCGAAAGAUGGUGAACUAUGCUUGUGUAGGGUGAAGCCAGAGGAAACUCUGGUGGAGGCUCGCAGCGGUUCUGACGUGCAAAUCGAUCGUCAAACAUGAGCAUGGGGGCGAAAGACUAAUCGA
This 831-nucleotide ribosomal RNA is filed under the name Paramicrothyrium chinense. RNAcentral's name for it is "eukaryotic LSU rRNA". It matches the Rfam family "Eukaryotic large subunit ribosomal RNA", at positions 76 to 938 of the family's 3401-position model. The record is from RNAcentral. Lineage: Eukaryota; Fungi; Ascomycota; Dothideomycetes.